This is a ribosomal RNA of Phytophthora infestans T30-4, 100 nucleotides long. The record is from RefSeq and is a predicted model, not a curated record. NCBI's taxonomy places the organism in Eukaryota, Oomycota, Peronosporomycetes, Peronosporales, Peronosporaceae.
AAUCCCUUAACGAGGAUCAAUUGGAGGGCAAUGUCUGGUGCCAGCAGCCGCGGUAAUUCCAGCUCCAAUAGCGUAUAUUAAAGUUGUUGCAGUUAAAAAG